UCUCCUAAUCAUAAACUUUAUAGUAUGAGGCCUGGAAAUCAUGGGCUGAUGGGAAUUAGAAACCUGUUUACCUGAAUUAUUGUUUUCAGCCUUAGAACUUUAUACACAUACUAUGCCAUUGCCCAUAUCCCCUAAGAUGAGCCUGUGGUCCUUCUUUUUUUUUUUUUUUUCUGAGGCAGAGUCUCACUCUGUCACCAGGUGCUAGGCUGGAGUGCAGUGGCACGACCUUGGCUCACUGCAACCUCUGCCUCCUGGGUUCAAGCAAUUCUCCUGCCUCAGCCUCCCGAGUAGCUGAGACUACAGGCGGGUGCCACCACACCCAGCUAAUUUUUUUGUAUUUUUAGUAGAGACAGGUUUCACCAUGUUGGCCAGGAUGGUCUCGACCUCUUGACCUCGUAAUCCACCCGCCUCGGCCUCCCAAAGUGCUAGGAUCACAGGCGUGAGCCACUGCGCCCAGCCAGUCCUUCUUCUUUACUGGUUUGCACAAGUCCUGCAAGGGGUGGAAAUUUGUGACAACUUCCUCCCCAUCAUAAGGGUCAUGGCCAACAUUUUUAACUUCUACCACAAAAGACAGGUUAACAAGGGGAAAACAUAUUUAUUUAAUCAAAGCUUUACAUGAUGCAGGAACCGUCAAAAUGCAGAUCCAAAAACCCAAAGGAACACUAUUUUUAAGCUUAGAGUUGAUGAAGAGUGGACAAUUGUGUAGAAAUGUGAUUGGACAUAUGGGGAAUGAUCUAAUAGUAAUAGACUGAGUGGGGAAAUGUAGCAAGGGCUGUCUGUUCAUAAUCUUUUUGUUCUCUAUGUUGUAGCAUUUAUUCCUCCUGGGUAUGGGUCAAGACCUUUCUGGAAGUGUGGUUCUUAAGACCUACUAUAGGACAAAGUUACAGCCAUAUAUGAUUGCCACGCCUCAGUCAAAACCCAACAGAAUGAAGCCAGGAAGAAAAAGUGCAAAAAUGCAGUGGUGGUUGUGCAGAUAUUCUGUGGAAACAAACAAAAGGACUCGCACUGAACCUGGAAGAGGGAAAAUCACAUGUUCUGAAGAGGAUUGUUAAUCUUUGAUUCAUUGCUUUUAUUUCAAAUGUCUACUUCUCCUCAAUGACAAGAGUAAUUAUUUAUAGAAAUUAUAAACCCUGUAGCCUUCCUGCUCUAUACAAUAUUUAUAAUGGAAAAAAUAUGUCUAAUUCCAUUUUGGGCUUAAUUUUUUGUGUGAAGAACCCUGAAUAUAAAUUUGAGCUCAAUGGAGAUUAAAAUUACUGUUUUACUUGAAUUUUUUAAGGAUAGUUAUGAAAGUGCUUUUAAUUAUUUUGGCUACAUUCUUUAUUUUUCUCUUUUAACAGAUAAUCUUUCUUUGUUGUUUUAUCUGUGUUGUUAAAAUUAUAUCUGCAAAUGUAAUGGACUUUCGAAAGAAAAAAUUAGUUUGCUCUUAUAUUUGCAUGAUAUUCAAGGUAUAACAGCAAAGUACAAUGAGGUUUGGCUAACAACAUAGUUCAAAAAUAACUUAUGUAUUUUAAAGUAAUUAACACAAUACUUCUAUGGUCUUACUUUGCAAUGUGAGUCCUAAUCAAAUAAUUUUGAAAAGCUUAUCAAGUCACUGGCUGUACACAACUAUGAUUUUAUAGAUGUUUUUAUUCAUGUAACUUAACCACCUUGAAUGUGCUGAUCCUUAGUUGUAACUCAUUGGCAAAAAAUCAGUAGCUUCAUUUUGGUAAAGGUUGUUACUUACUUCACUGUUAUAAUUUCUUUAUAAAUCUUGUUGAAAUGCAAGUCUUUAUAAACCAGAACCAGUAACAGAACUAAUUUGUUCCUUUGCCAGUCAUUCUCAAGCUUACUGUUUUUAAAAAUUGAAAAUGGCAAAACAAAGACAGUAGAACUAAAAAAAAAAAACUAAAAAAUCCCAAUACAAAGAAAUGAAACUAUAAUCCAUAUCUUCUCAUCUCUACCACCAUCCACUGCUAAUGCAGAAUAUCUUAUUAGAAUUUUUUAGCCCAAAUUUUCGUAUUAUUUGUUUACUUUGUUAAAUUUCACCAUAUGUUAACUUAGUUUUCCAGUUCUUCUUAUCCUGUAAAAAGAACUUUAGCAUGUUUAUCUCAGCAGGUUGUGUAAAUGAUGACAGAUAAUGUUAAAAGGCUGAGGAGCACUGUGGUAGGUAUAUAGCAAGUGUUCAACCAAAUAUGACUGUUAUCAUUAAUAUUCAGUACUUGUUUCUGCUUAUAAAGAUGAUAAAAUCAUGGAUUUCUUGAAGACUUCCUCAUACCUCUGUCUAGUCUCAGGUACAAUUCAGUAGCUUUAACCAAUUGUAAUUCCUCCUAUUCUUGACACAUUGAGACUUUCAUUUUUUCCAAUUUAUGGUUUAAAUAUCUGCAGAUUCUCUAGUUUGCUUAUUUUUCAUCUGUAGUAGCUGAUCCCAUGUGAAUUCCAAAGACAACUCCUCUACUUGCUAUCCAAAGACUAGUUUACCUUUUUCAGUCGCUUGUUACCCUUUCAGUUUCCUCUACCAGUUUGUUUCAACUCAAUUGUAUGUACUAGCAAAGCUAGGCCAUCUCUGUUUUUAAACUAUCAAUAAAGAGUUAUGUCAAACCGUAAAUAAAUAUGUUGAAAUGUAA
Molecule: long non-coding RNA, 2603 nt
Organism: Callithrix jacchus (white-tufted-ear marmoset)
Lineage: Eukaryota; Metazoa; Chordata; Mammalia; Primates; Cebidae
Source: RefSeq, a predicted model, not a curated record